UGGGACACCUCAGCCCUCUUCAUCUUCAAAGCCCUCUAACAAUAAUAACUGUGGUAUUUGUUCAUAUUUGGGGUGGAUAUAAGGAAAUUGGGUUGGACCCGCUCCAACCUUGAAGGCAGGGAUCAUGACUACUAAUUCUAUUGCGAUGACCUCUAUUGUGAUGACCUCUCUUUAGUGUUUAGGAUAGUGCUCUGCACCCAGAAACUGCUCAAUCCCACCGACCGGAUAUCACGGCCACUGGGUGCUGCAGUUCACCUGGAGACCAGCCACUGUUUAAAAUAUCAUCACAAGAAGCUUUUGCGGCAAAGAUAUGAAAAAUGUAUUGUACGAUCGAAAAGAAGAUAUUGUCUUCCAGCAGAUUAUGCAUUCCACCCACGGUAAAGGUUUAAUCUGAUGGCUUCAGAGAGGAAAUAGGAAUUUUGGAAGGUCAAGCAAUUAUGAGCAGCAUUCCAAUGGAAGAAACAUGUGAGAGACAGUCAUGGGGUUAAAACAGCUAACCAAAGGUAUUUACUGAGCAGUUACUGGGUGCAGAACACUGUACUAAGUGCUUGGGAGAGCACAACAUAACAGAGUUGGUAGAGAUAUUCUCUUCCUACCAGGAGCUUACAGUCUAGAGAAUAGUGCUCAGUGAGAAACAUUACAAGGAACCCAAGGGAAAUAUAUGACUAUAGUCACUUUAUGUGUUAGCAGAGGAAAGGGCAAAGGUUUUAAAAAAGCACACUCAAAAUCUGUGAAAUUUUAGGACUCUCCCUAGUCUCCAAGGAGAAGCUUAAUUAAGAAAGGUUGCAGAAGGUGACAGCAGGCAGUCUCCUCUGAAAUGGAAACAUUUGGAAACAAGCCAAGAUUCAGUACCUAAAGCCAGUUUUAACCUUCAGGAGGUCAAAUAUUGUAUAAUAGAAAAUUUUCCAUUAUGAAGAGGUUGUUUUUUAAAUUCAGGUCAAAUAAGACAUUUAACUAGCAAAUGCCAAUAUUCCUUUUUAUAAUUUGUGUUUUGCCCUCCAGAAAUUUAAAUGUGUCCUGAUUAGAUAUACUACUGCUUAUACAUUGUAGAUGGAUUGUUCUAUAUCGUUCCAUUUAUCACACACAAAUGGACCUUUAACACAAUUUAUUUUAGGUCAUUUUUCAUAUAUGGAAUCACUCAUUUUCUUUCGGAGUACAAAUA
RNAcentral lists this long non-coding RNA (1162 nucleotides) under Ornithorhynchus anatinus (platypus). RNAcentral describes it as "lncRNA (ENSOANG00000034802.2)". The record is from RNAcentral. Lineage: Eukaryota; Metazoa; Chordata; Mammalia; Monotremata; Ornithorhynchidae.